This 1362-nucleotide ribosomal RNA is filed under the name uncultured bacterium. Its description in RNAcentral is "16S ribosomal RNA". It matches the Rfam family "Bacterial small subunit ribosomal RNA", at positions 46 to 1399 of the family's 1533-position model. The record is from RNAcentral.
GCCUAACACAUGCAAGUCGAGCGGUAGCACAGAGAGCUUGCUCUCGGGUGACGAGCGGCGGACGGGUGAGUAAUGUCUGGGAAACUGCCUGAUGGAGGGGGAUAACUACUGGAAACGGUAGCUAAUACCGCAUAACGUCGCAAGACCAAAGUGGGGGACCUUCGGGCCUCAUGCCAUCAGAUGUGCCCAGAUGGGAUUAGCUAGUAGGUGGGGUAAUGGCUCACCUAGGCGACGAUCCCUAGCUGGUCUGAGAGGAUGACCAGCCACACUGGAACUGAGACGCGGUCCAGACUCCUACGGGAGGCAGCAGUGGGGAAUAUUGCACAAUGGGCGCAAGCCUGAUGCAGCCAUGCCGCGUGUAUGAAGAAGGCCUUCGGGUUGUAAAGUACUUUCAGCGAGGAGGAAGGCAUUAAGGUUAAUAACCUUAGUGAUUGACGUUACUCGCAGAAGAAGCACCGGCUAACUCCGUGCCAGCAGCCGCGGUAAUACGGAGGGUGCAAGCGUUAAUCGGAAUUACUGGGCGUAAAGCGCACGCAGGCGGUCUGUUUAGUCAGAUGUGAAAUCCCCCGGGCUCAACCUGGGAACUGCAUUUGAAACUGGCAGGCUUGAGUCUUGUAGAGGGGGGUAGAAUUUCCAGUGUAGCGGUGAAAUGCGUAGAGAUCUGGAGGAAUACCGGUGGCGAAGGCGGCCCCCUGGACAAAGACUGACGCUCAGGUGCGAAAGCGUGGGGAGCAAACAGGAUUAGAUACCCUGGUAGUCCACGCUGUAAACGAUGUCGACUUGGAGGUUGUUCCCUUGAGGAGUGGCUUCCGGAGCUAACGCGUUAAGUCGACCGCCUGGGGAGUACGGCCGCAAGGUUAGAACUCAAAUGAAUUGACGGGGGCCCGCACAAGCGGUGGAGCAUGUGGUUUAAUUCGAUGCAACGCGAAGAACCUUACCUACUCUUGACAUCCAGAGAACUUAGCAGAGAUGCUUUGGUGCCUUCGGGAACUCUGAGACAGGUGCUGCAUGGCUGUCGUCAGCUCGUGUUGUGAAAUGUUGGGUUAAGUCCCGCAACGAGCGCAACCCUUAUCCUUUGUUGCCAGCGAUUCGGUCGGGAACUCAAAGGAGACUGCCAGUGAUAAACUGGAGGAAGGUGGGGAUAACGUCAAGUCAUCAUGGCCCUUACGAGUAGGGCUACACACGUGCUACAAUGGCAUAUACAAAGAGAAGCGACCUCGCGAGAGCAAGCGGACCUCAUAAAGUAUGUCGUAGUCCGGAUUGGAGUCUGCAACUCGACUCCAUGAAGUCGGAAUCGCUAGUAAUCGUAGAUCAGAAUGCUACGGUGAAUACGUUCCCGGGCCUUGCACUCACCGCCCGUCA